UGGGGAAUAUUGGACAAUGGGCGAAAGCCUGAUCCAGCCAUGCCGCGUGUGUGAAGAAGGUCUUCGGAUUGUAAAGCACUUUAAGUUGGGAGGAAGGGCAGUAAGCGAAUACCUUGCUGUUUUGACGUUACCGACAGAAUAAGUACCGGCUAACUCUGUGCCAGCAGCCGCGGUAGUACAGAGGGUGCAAGCGUUAAUCGGAAUUACUGGGCGUAAAGCGCGCGUAGGUGGUUCGUUAAGUUGAAUGUGAAAGCCCCGGGCUCAACCUGGGAACUGCAUCCAAAACUGGCGAGCUAGAGUAGGGCAGAGGGUGGUGGAAUUUCCUGUGUAGCGGAGAAAUGCGUAGAUAUAGGAAGGAACACCAGUGGCGAAGGCGACCACCUGGGCUCAUACUGACACUGAGGUGCGAAAGCGUGGGGAGCAAACAGG
RNAcentral lists this ribosomal RNA (429 nucleotides) under Pseudomonadota bacterium. RNAcentral's name for it is "Proteobacteria bacterium partial 16S ribosomal RNA". It matches the Rfam family "Bacterial small subunit ribosomal RNA", at positions 355 to 776 of the family's 1533-position model. The record is from RNAcentral. Lineage: Bacteria; Pseudomonadati; Pseudomonadota.